Molecule: ribosomal RNA, 699 nt
Filed under: Triticum aestivum (bread wheat)
Lineage: Eukaryota; Viridiplantae; Streptophyta; Magnoliopsida; Poales; Poaceae
Description: partial small subunit ribosomal RNA
Source: RNAcentral
AUGGCGGCCAUGUCCACCAUCCUGCCACCCACCUACGCCGUCGGGCCGUUGCCGCUCCUCCUCGGCCAUGUCUCUAGCGGCGUGGCUGACACGCUGGAAUCCAACUUGUCCAAGGAGAACAACGCCAGCCUAGAGUGGUUGGAGGGCAAGCGGCCAGACCCGGUGCUGUACGUGAGCUUCGGGAGCAUCACGACACUCAUGAGCAUCGCGUGGGGUCUGGCCAACAGUAAAAUGGAUUUCCUGUGGGUGCUGCCACCGGAGUUCCUGGAGGAGACGAAGGCGAGGAGCCACGUAACGAGCUGGUGCCCGCAGGAGGCGGUGCUCCGGCACGAGGCGAUGGGCGCGUUCCUGACGCACUGCGGGUGGAACUCGGUCCUGGAGAGCCUCAGCGCCGGGGUGCCGAUGCUGUGCUGGCCCUUCGGCGCCGAUCAGUACACGAAUGCAAGGUACGUCUGCUCCGAGUGGCGCGCCGGCAUGGAGAUCGGCGGCGAUGUCGAAAGGGAUGAGGUGGAGGCGGCCGUCCGGGAGGUGAUGGGAGGAGGGGGCAAGGGAGAAGAGAUGAAGAGAAUGGCCAUGGAAUGGAAGGAGAAGGCUGCCAUGGCUGCACUGCCAGGUGGGCCAUCUUGGGUAAAUCUGAAGAAGGUGGUCAAUGAGGUGCUUAGUGUGGCUCCUGCGAGGAAUAUGGAUGUGGAAUUAUGA